This is a long non-coding RNA of Haplochromis burtoni (Burton's mouthbrooder), 1073 nucleotides long. RefSeq lists it as uncharacterized. The transcript is spliced from 2 exons. The record is from RefSeq and is a predicted model, not a curated record. Lineage: Eukaryota; Metazoa; Chordata; Actinopteri; Cichliformes; Cichlidae.
UUUUCCACACUUUUAACAGAAAAAUACGCCACUCACAUAAUUCACCACCGUACAGAAUAUAUUCUGAUUUAUUGCGAGCAACACAACCUGAUGUUGUUGCAGUUGUAGUAAUUUCCAGCCUGUCCUUGUUUGUCCUGCCUUUGCCGCUCCUCUGAGUUCCCUGUUUGACAUAAAAAAAUGGAUGCAGGAAAUGAAAUUGUUUUAAAAGUUUUAUCCGGCCUGUACAGCUCAUCUACUAACUGGAGGGUUGAUGGUGCGAUCCCUGGCUGCUCCGGCCUGCGUGCCAAAUAUCCUCGGGCAAGACAUUAACCCUAAGUUUCCCUCUAUUCAUGCACAUGUUGAGCAUGAGUGCUGGAGGAGAUGUGGGUUACAUUGUGUUGCUAAAGCAGUUAGUGGAACAUCAGUCGACGGUUAAGUAUAACAGUGAAGUUAGCUGGUAGCAGCUAGGUUGUUUGGACUGUGUUGACAGCAGAGUCAGGCUGCACAGUGUUUCUCAGAGCAUCUUUUUGCCUCUUUAAACUGUUUUGGUGAAGUAACUCUGUGAGAGACUACGGAGAUUAAAAAUAAAAAGGGACAUGCCACGCACACUUGAUGAUGCCAUUUCCUCUUUCACUUCAGGUUCAGCAGCAUUACCGCGCAACAUGGCAUUCUUAACAAGUAAGCGAGACAGGGAGCCAGGUGACAGUCAGCGUUUGCCUUCCUGUCACAAGGCUCCAGCUGAGGAGAAGAAAAUCAGGAUGUUAUGUAGAAAAACAGUGCACAGUGACUCCAGGUCACUGAAGAGGAGGCCUGCCAGCCCUGCUGUGCUCAGAUCCACCUGCCCUUUAACAGCUCGAGCACAGAGAAGGAUGGACAGGGAUGAAAGAGAAGGGAAGCAACAGAAGAAGGGAGUGGAGGGGGACAGGCGAGAGGGCGCUCAGAUACACCUCCUGAGACCUCGCCAGCACUUACUUCAUGUCAAGAGGGCUAACAAGGUCUGGUCAUGCUUUACUACACGUUUGCUUGUGUGAAAAGUGUGCUGUUGUAUCAUCGGUAUGGAAACCAAACACUAAUAAACAUACAGGUCCUUUUAA